This 127-nucleotide transfer RNA is filed under the name Candidatus Nitrosopumilus sp. Its description in RNAcentral is "Nitrosopumilus sp. tRNA-Trp". It matches the Rfam family "tRNA". From Rfam's summary of the family: Transfer RNA (tRNA) molecules are approximately 80 nucleotides in length. Their secondary structure includes four short double-helical elements and three loops (D, anti-codon, and T loops). The record is from RNAcentral. Lineage: Archaea; Thermoproteati; Nitrososphaerota; Nitrososphaeria; Nitrosopumilales; Nitrosopumilaceae.
GGGGUCGUAGCCUAGCCUGGUAGGGCGACGGGCUCCAAAGGUUAACUAAGCUAAACUGACUCACGGAUGAUGUAAGUUUGGAGCUGUAGUGACCCGUAGGUCGCCGGUUCAAUUCCGGUCGGCCCCA